This 527-nucleotide ribosomal RNA is filed under the name Rhodotorula taiwanensis. RNAcentral's name for it is "partial large subunit ribosomal RNA". It matches the Rfam family "Eukaryotic large subunit ribosomal RNA", at positions 114 to 656 of the family's 3401-position model. The record is from RNAcentral. Lineage: Eukaryota; Fungi; Basidiomycota; Microbotryomycetes; Sporidiobolales; Sporidiobolaceae.
UUUAUAAUCUGGCACCUUCGGUGUCCGAGUUGUAAUCUCUAGAAGUGUUUUCCGCGUUGGACCGCACACAAGUCUGUUGGAAUACAGCGGCAUAGUGGUGAGACCCCCGUAUAUGGUGCGGACGCCCAACGCUUUGUGAUACACUUUCGAAGAGUCGAGUUGUUUGGGAAUGCAGCUCAAAUUGGGUGGUAAAUUCCAUCUAAAGCUAAAUAUUGGCGAGAGACCGAUAGCGAACAAGUACCGUGAGGGAAAGAUGAAAAGCACUUUGGAAAGAGAGUUAACAGUACGUGAAAUUGUUGGAAGGGAAACGCUUGAAGUCAGACUUGCUUGCCGAGCAAUCGGUUUGCAGGCCAGCAUCAGUUUUCCGGGGUGGAUAAUGGUAGAGAGAAGGUAGCAGUUUCGGCUGUGUUAUAGCUCUCUGCUGGAUACACCUUGGGGGACUGAGGAACGCAGUGUGCCUUACGGCGGAUUUCUCGAGAUCUUCACACUUAGGAUGCUGGUGGAAUGGCUUUAAACGACCCGUCUUG